GGCUGGUCCAAAGGUAGUGAGUUAUCUCAAUUGAUUGUGGACAGUCAGUUACAGAUCAAACUUCUCAUUCUACUCUUUCCCCCUUCUCACUACUGUACUUGACUAGUCAAAA
Molecule: unclassified non-coding RNA, 112 nt
Organism: Homo sapiens (human)
Lineage: Eukaryota; Metazoa; Chordata; Mammalia; Primates; Hominidae
Rfam family: Y RNA
About the family: Y RNAs are components of the Ro ribonucleoprotein particle (Ro RNP), in association with Ro60 and La proteins. The Y RNAs and Ro60 and La proteins are well conserved, but the function of the Ro RNP is not known.
Source: Ensembl